Molecule: long non-coding RNA, 279 nt
Organism: Serinus canaria (Common canary)
Lineage: Eukaryota; Metazoa; Chordata; Aves; Passeriformes; Fringillidae
Exons: 3
Source: RefSeq, a predicted model, not a curated record
CACAGGCGCAGUUGACAUCAGCUUUAUCUGCAUUUCGUGGCCAGAUCCCAAUGACUUCAUCUCCAAGAAUGCUGUUCCAAAAUCAAGGUCCCAGAUCCUGGCUGUUCCGUCGUUGCUUGCAGAGAUAAAGAUGUCUUUGGAGGGCCCUUCGCCAUCUUUAACUGAUUAACUGGGAUAGAGGGGGAGACAAAACUCCAAAGACUGGAAAGGCAAAGCCAAUCAUUGUGCACAGCUCUGUGAGGCUGAAGGACCAUGAUUUCCCCUGGUUUGUACCUUCUU